GGGGGAUUAGCUCAUUUGGCUAGAGUGCUUGCCUGGCAGGCAAGAGGUGACGAGUUCGAAUCUCGUAUUCUCCACCA
This 77-nucleotide transfer RNA is filed under the name Flavobacterium sp. KMS. RNAcentral describes it as "tRNA-Ala". It matches the Rfam family "tRNA". From Rfam's summary of the family: Transfer RNA (tRNA) molecules are approximately 80 nucleotides in length. Their secondary structure includes four short double-helical elements and three loops (D, anti-codon, and T loops). RNAcentral also lists the same sequence under 2 other names. Lineage: Bacteria; Pseudomonadati; Bacteroidota; Flavobacteriia; Flavobacteriales; Flavobacteriaceae. The record is from RNAcentral.